GCUUACGGCCACACCGCCUGGUUCACGCCUGAUCUCGCAAGCUAAGAUAGGUUGGGCCUGGUUAGUACUUGGAUGGGAGACCGCCUGGGAAUACCAGGUGCUGCAAGCU
Molecule: ribosomal RNA, 109 nt
Organism: Scophthalmus maximus (turbot)
Lineage: Eukaryota; Metazoa; Chordata; Actinopteri; Pleuronectiformes; Scophthalmidae
Source: Ensembl